CUCCGCCCUCCACACCAUUCUUUAUGUUGGGAUGUAGGACAAGGGUUUUUCAUUUACUCAUGCUCUAGUAGGAAUCUCUACUGAUGAGAUUCAUCUUUGUGGAGAUGCAACUGCUAUUUCUCUUAUCUAGGUAAUACUGACAGUGACUAGUCAUGAGGUUGAGGUAAUGUGGAUCUCUCUGAUCUUCUUUCAAGCAUGGAUGAUCAAAUUGCAAAAGCAAAAGAGCAGACACUAAGCACGAAGGAUAUUUUGGACAAGGAAGAGAAGUGGAGAUAUGCAAUUGAGGAGGAGAAAUGGCUUGAAGAAUAUGAAAGGGUAAAAUGCAAAAAUUCAAUCAUUCUAUUAAAUGCCAAUCCAUUUUCUGUGGACUAAUGGAACCUUAUAGAACCUGCUUCUUCCACUUAUUCUGUUUUUAUUUUUGAACUAAAUUAAGCUAUUACACGUCUCCCAAAUAGAUAAAGUAAAUGCAAUUACAAAUGUUGU
Juglans microcarpa x Juglans regia is the source of this 483-nucleotide long non-coding RNA. RefSeq lists it as uncharacterized. The record is from RefSeq and is a predicted model, not a curated record. The transcript has 3 exons. NCBI's taxonomy places the organism in Eukaryota, Viridiplantae, Streptophyta, Magnoliopsida, Fagales, Juglandaceae.